UACGGAGGAUCCAAGCGUUAUCCGGAUUUAUUGGGUUUAAAGGGUGCGUAGGUGGCCUGUUAAGUCAGGGGUGAAAGACGGUAGCUUAACUAUCGCAGUGCCCUUGAUACUGAUGGGCUUGAAUGAACUAGAGGUAGGCGGAAUGUGACAAGUAGCGGUGAAAAUGCAUAGAUAUGUCACAGAAACACCAAUUGCGAAGGCAGCUUACUAUGGUUUUAUUGACACUGAGGCACGAAAGCGUGGGGAUCAAACAGG
This 255-nucleotide ribosomal RNA is filed under the name uncultured bacterium. RNAcentral describes it as "partial 16S ribosomal RNA". It matches the Rfam family "Bacterial small subunit ribosomal RNA", at positions 524 to 776 of the family's 1533-position model. The record is from RNAcentral.